Molecule: ribosomal RNA, 871 nt
Filed under: uncultured bacterium
Lineage: Bacteria
Description: bacterial SSU rRNA
Rfam family: Bacterial small subunit ribosomal RNA
Source: RNAcentral
GGCUUAGAGUUUGAUCAUGGCUCAGGAUGAACGCUAGCUACAGGCCUAACACAUGCAAGUCGAGGGGCAGCAUGGGCUUAGCUUGCUAAGCCUGAUGGCGACCGGCGCACGGGUGAGUAACGCGUAUCCGACCUUCCGGCGGCCCGGGUCCAGCCUUUCGAAAGAAAGAUUAAUCCCCGAUGGUGUCAGGCAGUUCCAUGACAGCCUGACUAAAGAGUUAUCGGCCGCCGAUGGGGAUGCGUUCCAUUAGCUUGUUGGCGGGGUAACGGCCCACCAAGGCGACGAUGGAUAGGGGUUCUGAGAGGAAGGUCCCCCACAUUGGGACUGAGACACGGCCCAAACUCCUACGGGAGGCAGCAGUGAGGAAUAUUGGUCAAUGGGCGCGAGCCUGAACCAGCCAAGUAGCGUGGAGGAUGACUGCCCUACGGGUUGUAAACUCCUUUUGCAGGGGGAUAAAGUGUGCCACGUGUGGCAUAUUGCAGGUACCCUGCGAAUAAGCAUCGGCUAACUCCGUGCCAGCAGCCGCGGUAAUACGGAGGAUGCGAGCGUUAUCCGGAUUUAUUGGGUUUAAAGGGAGCGCAGACGGCCCCUUAAGUCAGCUGUGAAAGUUUGCGGCUCAACCGUAAAAUUGCAGUUGAAACUGUGGGGCUUGAGUACGGUCGCGGCAUGCGGAAUUCGUGGUGUAGCGGUGAAAUGCAUAGAUAUCACGAAGAACCUCGAUUGCGAAGCAGCAUGCCAGCUCGCCACUGACGUUGAGGCUCGAAGUGCGGGUAUCAAACAGAUUAGAUACCCUGGUAGUCCGCACGGUAAACGAUGGACACCCCGCUGUCGNGAUAUACAGUCNCGGNNAGCGAAAGCGUUAAGUGUCCCA